This 366-nucleotide transfer-messenger RNA is filed under the name Gammaproteobacteria bacterium. It matches the Rfam family "transfer-messenger RNA". From Rfam's summary of the family: Bacterial tmRNA, also known as 10Sa RNA or SsrA, is named for its dual tRNA and mRNA-like properties. Its role is to liberate the mRNA from a stalled ribosome. To accomplish this part of the tmRNA is used as a reading frame that ends in a translation stop signal. The record is from RNAcentral. Lineage: Bacteria; Pseudomonadati; Pseudomonadota; Gammaproteobacteria.
GGGGGUGAUCUUGGUUUCGACGCGGGUCACAAAACCGUUGGAGCAUGUCGAGGUGCAGGUGCCUCGUUAAACUGUCUGCAAAAAAUUAGUUGCCAACGACGACAACUACGCCUUAGCGGCUUGACCGCUGAGCCUCGUGAUUUCCAUGUCUGAAUGGUAAGAAUCGGGGUCAAAUAAUUUCAGACUAGCUGAUAGGGAUUGUCUCGUACUCCUGUCAGCGAAUUUGAUGCUUCGGCAUUCGAGACCGUCAUACUCAGGACUGUUUACUCGGACAGGGUAUGACCGUACUAAUGGGUAGACUAAGCAUGUAGUCGCCAGCGCGCAGAGGGCUCUCGGACGCGGGUUCAAUUCCCGCCACCUCCACCA